RNAcentral lists this ribosomal RNA (797 nucleotides) under uncultured Pelagibacteraceae bacterium. RNAcentral describes it as "bacterial SSU rRNA". It matches the Rfam family "Bacterial small subunit ribosomal RNA", at positions 44 to 889 of the family's 1533-position model. Lineage: Bacteria; Pseudomonadati; Pseudomonadota; Alphaproteobacteria; Candidatus Pelagibacterales; Candidatus Pelagibacteraceae. The record is from RNAcentral.
ACGCCUAACACAUGCAAGUCGAACGCAGUAGCAAUACUGAGUGGCAAACGGGUGAGUAUAAUGUGGGAAUCUGCCUUUUGGUUUGGAAUAACACGGGGAAACUUGUGCUAAUACCGAAUAAGCCCUUACGGGGAAAGUUUUAACGCCGAAAGAUGAGCCCGCACUUGAUUAGCUAGUUGGUAAGGUAAAAGCUUACCAAGGCAAUGAUCAAUAGCUGUUCUUAGAGGAAGACCAGCCACAUUGGGACUGAGACACGGCCCAGACUCCUACGGGAGGCAGCAGUGGGGAAUCUUGCACAAUGGGGGAAACCCUGAUGCAGCGAUGCCGCGUGAGUGAAGAAGGCCCUUGGGUUGUAAAACUCUUUCGUCGGGGAAGAAAAUGACUGUACCCGAAUAAGAAGGUCCGGCUAACUUCGUGCCAGCAGCCGCGGUAAUACGAAGGGACCUAGCGUAGUUCGGAAUUACUGGGCUUAAAGAGCUCGUAGGUGGUUAAAAAAGUUGAUGGUGAAAUCCCAAGGCUUAACCUUGGAACUGCCAUCAAAACUUUUUAGCUAGAGUGUGAUAGAGGUAAGUGGAAUUUCUAGUGUAGAGGUGAAAUUCGUAGAUAUUAGAAAGAACACCAAAUGCGAAGGCAACUUACUGGGUCACUACUGACACUGAGGAGCGAAAGCAUGGGUAGCGAAGAGGAUUAGAUACCCUCGUAGUCCAUGCCGUAAACGAUGUGUGCUAGACGUUGGAAAUAUAUUUUUCAGUGUCGCAGCGAAAGCAUUAAGCACACCGCCUGGGGAGUACGACCGC